CUACUCUUCUGAAUGUGUUCUGAGAAAAAAACUGGGCCUUAAGGGGCUGGGGAUUUAGCUCAGCGGCACAGCGCCUGCCUGGCAAGCGCGAGGUCGUGAGUUCGAUUUCCGGUACCGGAAAAAAAAAAAAAGAAAGAAAAAAGAAUUGAACCCUAGAUAGGACACCGGAGAUUGGUCAAUUUGCCUUUCUCUGCUAAUUUAGACAAACAAGCAAUUGAACAAAGCCUUGGAGUGGGAAAGAAACUUCAAAACUUUUAGGACAUCUGAAUUUCAAGUCUCAACUAGAAAUGUGUGACAGAAGUACAUUCGGAAGUUAGAGAUCUGUAAAAUUGUUCUCAUUAAACAACCAGAACCACAAAUUCUUCAAGAGAACACCUAAAGCCAGAGACAUCUGUGACAAAGCACAAUUCAUUCUUCAUCCUGACCGAAUUACUUUGCCUGCUGACAAGGUCAGGAAUUAUAGAACAAAUAUAAGCAGAUGAGUGUAUUCAAGAAGAUGUUAAUACAUCAAUGCUACUCCUUUUUCUUUCAGGCCGGAAAGAGACACAUUAUUUGUCUCCGUGAUGCAAUUCGGUUGACUGUGCUUAACCUGAAGAGAACUGUCCGCGUCCCUGUAAAUCCGAGGAAUCAUAUCUCUAACAAUCAAAUGUAUUCCAUCAUCUUAAAAAACUAAGCAUUUUAGAAGAGAAGAUAAAGAAAUCACUAAUCAUGCUUCUUCCAUAGAAAAUUAUAGAAAUAAGAGAGCCGUGUAUGCUGAAAACAAGCAGAAGAAAUGAUAAAAAUUUGAGAAGAGAGCAAGCCAAUUGGAAAUGAGAAAUCAAUAAAGAAAAUCAACAAAAGCACAAGCAAGAUUUUGACAAAUGGAAUUAUGCUCGAUGAAACACUUGUCCUCCCAGCCAAGCAAAAAGAGAUCAGACCUAACAUUUCAACAUGAGAAAUAGAAGAGAAACCACCAUUUAUGAUCCUAUGGGAAAGAUCAUAAAUAGCACUAAGAAGUGGACAUUCACCAGUUCAAUAACUUACACUAGCAGGACCAAUUCUUUGAAAGACACUGACUACCAAACCUCUCAAAGAGAAAUAAGUACAUAAUUUGAAUAAAUCUCUAUCUAUUCAAAGAAAUGAACCAAUAAUUAAUAAAAUUUCCAAAAGAGAAAGGACUAGGCACAGAGUUUCGUUGAAGAAUUCUACCAAACUUUUAAGAAGUAUAUAUCAAUUGUUCACAACCUAUUCAAAAAAUAAAAGUAAAAGGAAUAUUUACCCACUCACUGUAUAAAACAAUCAUAACUCAUAUCAGAUGAAAAUCUGAGAUAUUUUUCUGUAAGCACCACGUAUGCUGAAUCACAUAGAUAUUGAAACACUAAUUUUAUUAACACUUAACUGAAAAUAUUUUAUUUAGGAGUGUGUUGAAUAAUGUAGAAAUAUUUUGGGAUUUUCAACUACAGUUUUGUUAUUGGCUUUUAGUUUAAUUCUUUUGUAGUCUAAGAGUAUGCUUUGUAUGUUUUGUAUUUUAUAAACGUGCUUAUUUGCAUUUUAUGUCCCAUAAUACGUUUUAUCUUGUUGGGUGUUCAUUUAAGUGUUAGCUUAAUGGGUAAUGCUGCUGUUUGAUAAAAUAUACCAUAAAUAACAAUUAGGGAAUAAAACAAAAUAUUUAUGAAUUUAAACUAGAAAAGUCUUACCUUCUCAUAUCCAUAUUGUAUUCACAUCUUUUUUAAAAGAGAAAGAAACAAUUUUAUUUAGACUAUCUAAUAGAUCAAAUCAUCAUUAGAUUGCUAAACGGUUGGUUCCAUCUUAUGAAUUUUAGUACUUCCACUAUAGCAAAUUUCAAACCUCAAUAAAUUAGAAACUAGAUUAUUAUUUUAUUGUAUUUUUCUUUCUAAUUAUAAAUAUUUACUUAAUUGAAGUUUAUAUUAAUGUAAAUUUUAAAACUACUAAAGGCAUUUUUAUCAAAAUGAUUACAAUAUAAAGAUGGCACUUUCAUUACUUGAGUUGGUAGAAUUGAUAUUUUUUGCACAUUAGAAGUCAACUUUGCUGAUAUCUAACAGUUUAUUGAAAGGAACAGUUAAUGCUUUCUCUUUUUUUGACCACUUUUGCUUGUUUAUGUCUGGUAAUCUGAACAACUAGUUUGAGGACAAGAGCUUGCAACAUAACAGCCAUUAUUAAGUUCCUAUUAUCUUAUUUGGUGAAACUCUUUAGCAUCUAUAUGUUUUUUGUUUUAUUUUAUAUUCUCUUUAAUGGUUUGAUCAAUCUUGCAUCCUCACAUCUGGUAACCUGAGAACUUCAUUGAAGAUAACAGUAUGUAAUAUUACAACCACUCUUACUCCCUGUCAUUUUGUUCUAAAACCUG
This 2344-nucleotide long non-coding RNA is filed under the name Chinchilla lanigera (long-tailed chinchilla). Its description in RNAcentral is "lncRNA (ENSCLAG00000023490.1)". The record is from RNAcentral. Lineage: Eukaryota; Metazoa; Chordata; Mammalia; Rodentia; Chinchillidae.